AUGAUCUGAAGUCAAGUGGGAUUACCCGCUGAACUUAA
Molecule: ribosomal RNA, 38 nt
Filed under: Rhizopus stolonifer
Lineage: Eukaryota; Fungi; Mucoromycota; Mucoromycetes; Mucorales; Rhizopodaceae
Description: partial 28S ribosomal RNA
Source: RNAcentral